Molecule: long non-coding RNA, 5159 nt
Filed under: Sus scrofa (pig)
Lineage: Eukaryota; Metazoa; Chordata; Mammalia; Artiodactyla; Suidae
Description: lncRNA (ENSSSCG00015031993.1)
Source: RNAcentral
GGCUGCACCUGCGGCACAUGGAGGUUCCCAGGCUAAGGGCUGAAUCGGAGCUGCAGCUGCUGACCUACACCACUGCCACAGUAACACCAGAUCUGAGCCUCGUCUUCGACCUACACCACAGCUCACAGCAACGCCAGAUCCUUAACCCACUGAGCAAGGCCAGGGAUCGAACCCACGACCUCAUGCAUGUUGGUCAGGUUUGUUACCUCUGCGCUGCCACAGGAACUCCCUAGAGGACAUGGGUUUGAGUCCAGCACUGCCAUUUAGGGGCCAUUGAUCAUGGUGAAUUCAGUCGCCCUCUCUGGGCCCCAAGUUCCUCCUCCAUAAAUGGAGAAUAUGCAUUAAUUUUCACAGUAUGAAAAAAAUCUAAACUUUUCAAAAUCGGGUUAGCAAUGUAAUUAUUUUUUACAUAGAGAAUGUUUCCCUUAUUCCUUUAGGGUAAUUACAUAUUACAUGAUUGGUAAAUAAUUUGCCAAAAAAAAAAAAAUACUGAAAAGAAGAAUCAGAGACAAAAGCAUUUAAAAAAUAAGUCAUUUGCCUGCAAAAAAAAGUUUCACAAGGGAGUCUAAAUUUUAGAACAGUGGUCCUCAUCUUUGGGUGUAUAUUAGAAUUUCUUGGGAAAUUUUUAAAAUUCUUAUUGCCCUGCCUACCUGGACCAGCUAAACCAUAAUUUCAGAGGGGUAGAACCCACAAACAAAUAGUUUUUGAAAUCCCCUACAUGGGAAUGUAAAUUGAUACAACCAACAUGGAAAACAGCAUGGAGCUACCUCAGGGAAAUAAAUAUAGAACUACCAUAUGACUCAGCAAUUCCACUCCUGGACAUGUAUCCGGACAAAACUUGCCUUGAAAAAGACACGUGCACCCAUAUGUUCAUUGCAGCACUCUUCACUAUAGCCAAGACAUGGAAACAACCUAAAUGUUCAUUGACAGAUGAAUGGAUUAAGAAGACGUGGCAUAUACACACAAUGGAAUACUACUCGGCCAUAAAAAAGAACAAAAUAAUGCCAUUUGCAGCAACAUGGAUGGUACUAGAGACUCUCUACUAAAUGAAGUAAGUCAGAAAGAGAAAGACAAAUACCAUAUGAUAUCACUUAUAUCUGGAAUCUAAUACUUGGCACACAUGAACCUUUCCACAGAAAAGAAACUCAUGGACUCAGAGAACAGACUUGUGGUUGCCUAGGGGAAGGGGGAGAGAGUGGGAUGGACUGGGAAUCUGGGGUUAAUAGAUGCAAACUAUGGCAUCUGAAGUGGGCAAGCAAUGAGAUCCUGCUGUACCGCACAGGGAACUAUAGUCACUUGUGGUGGAGCAGGAUGGAGGAUAAUGUGAGAAAAAGGAUGUAUAUAUAUGUGUGACUGGGUCGCUUUGCUGUACAGUCAAAAUCAACUAUAAUGGAAAAAAUAGAAAUCCUAAAAAAACCUCCCCACAUGAUUCUAGUGUGAACCCUGACUGGGAACCAGAAGUUCCAGAAGGAGUGCUCUCACCAAAUCAAAAAAUAUUCAGACUACAGGUAUGUAAAGAAAAAACACAGAUGGCCGGUUGUUCACUCCUGCUGAGAAAAGAGCAGUUUUCACAAAGGACUAGCCGACGUGCAGAGUUACAGACAGAUAUCAGCCAUUGUCAAGGUCUGGAUAAGGCUGUUUGGUAAGGAAUUAGGAAGUUCCAGCACCUGGCUUAAGAUCUCAUUUACAUGGGGACUAGAUGGCGACAGGGGGACCCUGAUAAUGCUCAUGGCAGUCUGCUCCCCCCGUCCCCGGCCUGUUCCAGGGGAAAUACAUACUCACAAAGCAGAGCAAGAGGUCAGCUUUACUUUUUCAUAAGGAAAUAGGUGACGCUCAUAUUUAAUGUCCCUCUCAACUUCAAAACCACUCCCAAGAAGUGACCACCGAUAUUGUAGAUGUAAUGCUGUGCUUAUACAGAUUACACACACACACACACACACACACACACCACACUACAACACAGGCAUACACAUAACACAUGCACACACAAGCCUACACACACACACACACACACACACACACACACACACACUUGGGACUUUCACUGAGCACUUUAUUGUGGCCUUCCUCCCGUGUCAGGACAUCAGAUUUAUCUCAUUUUUAACAGAUGCAUAGUUCUCUUGAACUGUAUAUAAUGGAUUAUUUGGAUAUUCAAAUAAUCAAUUUACAAUUGUUAGUAAAAUCUUCCCUCACUUUUUCCAUUUCAUAUAAUACUGCAAUAAACUCACUUGUUUGUUUUUGUUUGUUUGUUUGUUUGUUUUUUUGUCCUUUUUGCUAUUUCUUGGGCCGCUCCCGCGGCAUAUGGAGGUUCCCAGGCUAGGGGUCGAAUUGGAGCUGUAACCACCGGCCUACGCCAGAGCCACAGCAACGCAGGAUCCGAGCGGCGUCUGCAACCGACACCACAGCUCACGGCAACGCCGGAUCGUUAACCCACUGAGCAAGGGCAGGGACCGAACCCGAAACCUCAUGGUUCCUAGUCGGAUUCGUUAACCACUUCGCCAAGAUGGGAACUCCCCACUUGUUUGUUGAUCGUUAGCUUUUUAGUAAACACAGUUCGAGGAGAGAGUCCUCGAGGUGUGAGCGCUAUGUUCAAAAGCAGACACUGUCCAAUCGCCCUCCAAAUGCCUGCAGCCAAUGACAUUUCUCCAAAUAAUACAAAGCGCCUGUUUCCCACACUCUCUUCAAGGCUGGUCUUUCUGUUUUUUACUGGCUCACUUAGGGGGUGUGUACAAGGCUCUGCGAAUAACGAAAUGCAGUUCCGAGGCGAGGUAUUCCGACCAGUGACUUGGCUGAAAGGACCCGCAUCAAAAGUAGCUGCCAGCCUCUGAGGCCAGCACAGUCAGACAGAGGCUUCUGUUCUGUGUCAGGUUGUUUUCUGUAAAUACUGCUUUCGGGCUUAGAUCCUAAUUUCUUAGGCCAUGAUGUCAGUCUUCCAGGGUGACAGGGCUGUAAAUAAGGAGUGAGAGGGAGGGACCCUCUGGCAGAGGCAGCUGUCCUUACCCUCAGAGCUUUUCUGCAAAAGAACUGCCCAGCACAGCAGACAGGCCCACUGGGGCCACCUGCAACAGUAGUUUGCGUGCACCCGGCAGGGAGAGCUCUGGGAGGGCGUCCCAUCUGCUCUGUCUUCAGUCUUUAUUCCACCUCCUUUCCAGGACCUCCGAGACGUCUCACUUUCACCAUUCAUUCGGGGCGCUGGGAGGUGGAGGCCUCAGCAUUUCCUAACUUAUUUUUUUAUGAAGCACUCGCCUCACCCAGUAGACUGAGAGUGUGCUCCCCGUUGACCUCAGCUCAGAAAGAAGGGAAGUCUGAUGCUAAGCUCCUCUUCCUCUACCACGGGCUCCACGCACCCCAAGACCCCCCGGGAGGUCCCGAUCCUCCUUCAGAACCAGAGCACAAGGACCGUCUUUCAUGCUCUUUUCUUGGUAGAACCUGACCUGUUGCAGAGCCGAGCGCCCCGCCUCUGUCUUGGGCACGUGACAGUCAGCCCUCAGGAACUUAGGUCCAGACCAAUAACGGACUUGUUGGCAUCCCCUCAUCUCCCAGUUAUGAAUUCCUUGGGUUCCGUGUGUCUCUACGUUCCAGUUGGUAGCACCUAACGAGUCUGCUGAAUGGAUUUUCCCUUAGUUUGAAUCCCUGCCUGGUUUGGCCAUAAGAAAACAAAUACCAUUCAUGGGGUGUGUGACAUAGACGCUGGUGCUCCCCAAUUAUUCCAUGAGAUCCUGCAUAUUUUCCAGCCUUCCUGGCACUUAGCAUGGAGCCAGGUGACAAAUUUAAGUUCACGGGCUCAAGGGGGAGUGAAGCAAUGCACAGCACUUGCCACCCGAGGACAUCGAGGAGGCUGAAAGCUGCACGCAUCUGCCGCGGUGGCUGGAAGCGAAGAACGCUGAGACGGUGAAGGGGCCACAGGGAGCAUUGCUAAGCGCACCACUGCUGAAAGGCGGCCACCAGAGAGGAUGGGCUGACCUGUAUCAGACUGCUCCGAAAGUGACAAAUAAGCCUCUGGCUUUGGAGGUUUGCUGCCACAGCAAAACUUAGCUUUACCCUGACCAACCGCGGGUGAGUUUCACAAGCUGAAAGUGUAAGGAGGAGACAAGCCCGUGGAAUAUGACAGCAUCACCGCGGGUGAGUUUCACAAGCUGAAAGUGUAAGGAGGAGACAAGCCCGUGGAAUAUGACAGCAUCACUGGCUAGCAACAUCUUCUGAUAUCCUGGAAUUAGUCGGGAUGGGCCAUGGAUCUGGAUCUGAAACUUUUAAAUCGAAAUGGGGACAAGAGCAUCCCUAUGACGUCAUUGGAGAAUCUGAGGCAUAGAGAAGCGAAGGGAUGGGCUUCUCGGAUUAGGAGUGAGCGAAGCAUGAGAACAGAGACCUCAAUUUCCCCUGGGCUGUUUCCCACCCUUCCUAGUUGGGAUUUCUCCUCCCCCAGCAUUUGUGCCCUUUGAGUUAGUAUUCUAGGCAUGAGACUGACCUAUUUCGAAGUGGGACAGGUUGGCGUCUCUAAAGCGGGUUCCACAGAAGACUCUGUUUUGAAGCAACAUGGUGGUAAAGAGGUUAACACUGAAUGGGAGUUUUACUUCCAGGCAGGGAUCUCGAGCCCUGGUGGAAAGACUGCAGCUGCCCUGUGGCCCAGAUAAUGCAACAUCGGGCUGAGCAAGGACAUCUGAGAACAUUCUGUUCUCCUCCCCCGAGACCAAUUAAAAUCUGGAGGCAUCUUUCUUGUUGAUCGAGCUGACUAACUAAUUGAAACGGAAUUGUGAUAUUUUCAUCAGCUUUCUCUUAUCCCUCUUGGCCUUGCCAGCAGAGAGCAAGUUGAAUGAUCAGAGAGUUUCAAGCAUGUGAGGCCCAGGGAACGGAACCCCUCUCACCGUAAACCACUACAUUUCCACGGAACAAGGUUCGAAAAAGGAUGAUGCGGGGUCGAGAGUAGGGCGAUACGCUCAAAUCUCAGUCUCAGUUCAUCCAGAUACCAAAGAUACCAUCUUCGGGAUUCCUGAUGAACCAUAAAGCUGUCCUUCAGCAGUUGCUGCUCCAAUAAACCAGCUUCUGACCUCUGCCUUCCUAACGAACAUCCCUCUGCCUGACUGCGGAAGCUCCUAGAAACAAAGAACCAAACGCCUCUGAGGCCCAACAAGAUCCCUUUCCUUCCAUUGAGCUAGAAUGUA